GUCCGCUGGGUUCCUAAAAGUGAUCCCAGUCCAGACUGCGGAGGUUGCCACGCGUCAGCAUGGGCGAGUCCCCGCCACACUCCCCGGCCGCCUUGACGUCGUGGCCGGAGCUGCUCGCCCCGUUCGACCUCUCCCGACUUCGCUCCACACUCUCCUCCAGCCCGCUCACUCCGCGCCGCCUCGCCCGCCUCCUUGCGCUCCCGCUGUCCCCAGCAACUUCCCUCCUCCUUCUCCAGUGGUAUGCCGCCUCCCACCCCGACCUCUCAUCUCUCCCGCUCCGUCCCCUCCUCGCCGCCGCCAAUGCAGACCCCGAGCGCGCGCUCUUCCUCCUCGAAUCCCUUCCUCCCUCCCGCGUCCCUCCUCUCCGCGAGUCCCUCCUCAUUCCGCUCUUUCGGUCCUUGGCCCCUGGCCGCGCGCUCCACCUGCUUGACCAAUUGCCCCACCGCUUUGCCGUCUCUCCCUCCUUCCGUUCCUACAACACAGUUCUCGCCGCAUUUGCCAGGGCCGAUUGCCACACCGAUGUGCUCUCCCUCUACCGCCGGAUGGUCCACAGGGACCGUGUCCCACCCACCACCUUCACCUUCAGCAUCGCUGCACGUGCGCUCUGCCGCCUUGGGCGUGCCGAUGAGGCGCUCACGAUGCUCCGCAGUAUGGCUCGGCAUGGGUGUGUGCCUGACACUGUGCUCUAUCAGACAGUCAUACAUGCGUUAUGUGCCCAGGGCGGGGUUAACGAGGCUGCCACGCUCCUCGACGAGAUGUUCCUCAUGGGGUGCUCUGCUGAUGUCAACACGUUCAAUGACAUUGUCCAUGGGCUAUGCACGCUCGGGCGUCUGCGCGAGGCUGCUAGGCUCGUGGACAGGAUGAUGAUAAGAGGAUGCGUACCAAACGCUAUAACAUACGGAUUCCUUCUCAAGGGCCUGUGCCUAGCAAGCCAGGUGGAAGAGGCCCGAACGAUGCUUGGGCGGGUGCCGGAGUUGAAUGUCGUGCUAUUUAACACGGUGAUUGGCAGGUGUCUUUUGGACGGGAAGCUAAAAGAGGCGGCAGAGCUCUAUGAGACAAUGGGAUCAAAAGGCUGCCCACCAGAUGCACACACUUAUAGUAUAUUGAUACAUGGGCUUUGCAAGCUUGGGAGGCUCGGUUCGGCCAUGAAGUUGCUUAGAGAGAUGGAGGAUAAAGGUUUUGCUCCAAGCAUAGUGACAUACACAAUCUUGCUGCAUUCUUUUUGCAGGAAUGGCAUGUGGGAUAACAUUAGAGCCAUGCUGGAGGUGAUGUCAGAUAAAGGCCUGAGUAUGAAUUUGGAAGGAUACAAUGGAAUGAUAUGUGCAGUAUGUAAGGAUCGCCGGAUGGAUGAUGCAAUGAGAUUCAUGCAAGAGAUGAAGAGUCAAGGUUACAAGCCUGAUAUCUGCACAUAUAAUACAAUAAUUUAUCAUCUGUGCAACAAUAAUCAGAUGGAGGAGGCUGAGUAUCUAUUUGAAAAUUUGCUUCAUGAGGGUGUUGUCGCCAAUGCAAUAACAUAUAAUACACUCAUUCAUGCACUGUUGCGCAAUGGAAGCUGGCAGGAUGCCAUAAGCCUUGCAAAUGAUAUGGUACUUCAUGGUUGCUCACUUGAUAUUGUUAGCUACAAUGGUCUGAUAAAAGCGCUGUGCAGGGAUGGGAAUGUUGAUCGGAGCAUUAUGUUGCUUUCAGAAAUGGCAGAGAAGGGCAUUAAGCCAAAUAAUGUUUCAUACAACCUCUUGAUUAGUGAGCUCUGCAAGACAAGAAGGGUGCGUGAUGCACUAGAGCUCUCGAAGGAGAUGUUAAACCAAGAGCUUACUCCUGAUAUUGUCACAUACAAUACACUCAUAAACGGAUUGUGCAAAAUGGGAUGGAUGCAUGCUGCUUUGAAUCUCCUAGAGAAGCUACACAAUGAAGAUGUGCAUGCUGAUAUUAUUACAUACAAUAUCCUCAUUAGUUGGCACUGUAAAGCAAGAUUGCUUCAUGAUGCUAGUAUGCUACUAAAUAGAGCAGUGACUAGUGGGAUAACACCCAAUGAGCGCACUUGGGGAAUUAUGGUGCAAAAUUUUGUUCGGAAAUCCACUUAGCAUUUUAGCUCAUGAGAUGUUGUAAACAUCAAGAUGGCAGAUCAUGGGCGUCCAUCAUAGUCUUCACCGUGCUUGACCUGGUUCUUUCGGAGUAUCUAUCGCCAUGACGCUAGAACAGGAGCACUUGCUCAGUUGAAAGUUGAAACCAUAGAUGUCUAUAUCUGUUAUAAUUGUUUUUGAAUCAGUCUGUUAUGUUAUUAAUCAACAAGGGUAUAUUUAAAUACAUAUUCGGAGUUAAGAUAAUUUUCUUGUGCUAACUACCUCUGUAGCACAACUGAUCCAUGUUCAUGCCCUGGUGGAGCUCUGCUAAAUAACUGCAGUCCUUGCCUCUGGUAUUGGAUUAUUUUGAUCUACACUGCAGACUGAAAGCUUGUCAAUCAUAAGCGGAAACUUUCUGGUUAAAACAAGAGUAAAAUGCAUCGAAGGUCGUAAAACUAUGCAAGACGUGUCAACUAAGUCUCAUAAAUAUGGAAAUGCACAUGUAGGUCCUAAUUGUGCAUUGAGUGGUUCAUCACAGGUCCUACCUGGGUCUGACCUGCCCCGUGUGGUGUUGAUUGAUGCCAUUUAGGCUAAGAUCCUAAGAGUUCCACUCUAGCUAAUCGGUUGCUGUGAUUAGCAAAAAGGGCCCUGUAAAUUAUAUUGUUUGUGAGCUCUGAUUGGGGAAAGUGAGAGAGGGACUGGGGAAUGCGUAAAAUAACUUUCAGUGUCCUUUCUGCAAAUUUCUCACAUGAGCUGAUUAGCUAGCGUGCCAUUAUUAGCAUACGUGGCAUCAGUUAACGCGCCACACAGGCAGGUUAGACAACAUGUGAUGAACCACUUAAUGCACAAAUACGACCUAGUUAUGCAUUUUCAUACUUACGGAACCCAGUUGAAACAGCUUGCAUUUCUGUUUUUCUGAAAGGGAACUUUGGAAGUCCCUACAGUAUAAAUACGAACCUAAAUUUCCAUCCUUGAGGACUUAAACCUACGGGGUGAGCUUGCACAUCCACUAACCCAACAACCAAGCGAGCCUAACUUGCAUAGUUUUAGAACCUCCGAUGCAUUUUACUCACUAAACAUAGUACCUGAAACAUGUGAUGCUUUCCGUUCGGCCAGUAUUUAUACUUCAACGUGCAGUGUUAUGUAAUACAGCAAAUAGUAUGUCUCAUCUAUGCAAUUUUUUUUGUCUUCUCAACUUACCAAUAUUCUAGUUACUGCAUGAAUUGGUCAAGGAACCUGAUUCAUACUGGAUUAAUACCUUGAUAGUUGAACAAAAUACAAUAUGAAGAGAAACCAUGCUGAUAAGGCAACUGCUUGGGCUCUUGACGUCGAUUCGUUAUAAGUUCGGCGCGAGCUCGGCUCUAGAGCUAAACGUUACCCCUGUCAAAAAAUCUCGGGUUCAGCAAACUAUUAGAGCUUGGCUCAAGACCUAAGUGCCGCCACUCUCUUGUAGUCGUAGGUGGAGUGUAACAGCCCAAGAGCAACACUUUUCAUUUUAAGCCCUUUUGGACUGUUUUGUAAUUUAAUUUUGUCAUCAUCAUGUCACGCUCAUAUCAUCAUCAACAUUUUGCCAUGUCA
Molecule: RNA transcript, 3638 nt
Organism: Brachypodium distachyon (stiff brome)
Lineage: Eukaryota; Viridiplantae; Streptophyta; Magnoliopsida; Poales; Poaceae
Gene name: pentatricopeptide repeat-containing protein At5g64320, mitochondrial
Exons: 3
Source: RefSeq, a predicted model, not a curated record